RNAcentral lists this ribosomal RNA (567 nucleotides) under uncultured archaeon. Its description in RNAcentral is "bacterial SSU rRNA". It matches the Rfam family "Archaeal small subunit ribosomal RNA", at positions 326 to 897 of the family's 1478-position model. The record is from RNAcentral.
CGGGGUGCACCAGGCGCGAAAACUUUACAAUGCCGGCAACGGCGAUAAGGGAACCUCGAGUGCCAGGUUACAAAUCUGGCCGUCGUGAUGCCUAAAAAGCAUUGCAUAGCAAGGGCCGGGCAAGACCGGUGCCAGCCGCCGCGGUAACACCGGCGGCUCGAGUGGUAACCGUUAUUAUUGGGUCUAAAGGGUCUGUAGCCGGCCGGGUAAGUCUCUUGGGAAAUCUGGCAGCUUAACUGUCAGGCUUUCAGGAGAUACUGCCUGGCUCGAGGCCGGGAGAGGUGAGAGGUACUUCAGGGGUAGGGGUGGAAUCUUGUAAUCCUUGAAGGACCACCAGUGGCGAAGGCGUCUCACCAGAACGGACCUGACGGCAAGGGACGAAAGCUAGGGGCACGAACCGGAUUAGAUACCCGGGUAGUCCUAGCCGUAAACGAUACUCGCUAGGUGUCGGCCACGGUGCGACCGUGGUCGGUGCCGUAGGGAAGCCGUGAAGCGAGCCACCUGGGAAGUACGGCCGCAAGGCUGAAACUUAAAGGAAUUGGCGGGGGAGCACAAGGGCGAAUCGCG